ACGGCCAUACCACAUUGAAAACACCGGUUCUCGUUCGAUCACCGAAGUUAAGCAAUGUCGGGCCCGGUCAGUACUUGGGAGGGUGACCACCUGGGAACACCGGGUGCUGUAGGCU
Non-coding RNA from Cordylochernes scorpioides, 115 nucleotides. Lineage: Eukaryota; Metazoa; Arthropoda; Arachnida; Pseudoscorpiones; Chernetidae. The record is from the annotation of a GenBank genome assembly.